GCCCCUCAGUCAGCAACAAGGACGUUUCUUCAAAAUAGGGUAUUAACAAUGGUUAGAGAAAACAUCCAGGCUUAUGUGGGCUAUUUUAAGGCUUAAAUAGCAUGGAGAAAGUUUCAAAAGGAACCAUGCAGACUGACUGGUAGGAAAUAGCUCAAACAUGGUACCUUCAUCGCCUCACUGCCACUGUGCAAUGGCUAAAACAAGCAACUAAAGACAGCAGAGUCUGUGGGAGAUCGUUAUAUGAUGUCAAGGUUUCUGAAGCAUAAGCCCAACAGUUAAUCUACACACCACCCCAUGUGGUUAUUGCCCGUGCCAAGACUUUGAUCCUCAGCACAUUUUGAUGGAAGAACAGCCAAGCCCUGACCUGUACUCACAAGAUGCCCAGAUGAACUCUUCUCCCCCAGGAAACAACUGCUUAUACCUUGCAGAGGAAAUUGUUCAGUGCUAAAGUGAAUCAAAAUGCUGCAGCAUAAGUCUGUUCAUGUGAUAAACAUGACUUUUGUGUUAAACAUGUUUUUUUUUCUCUCUGUAUGUAGAGAAAGCUAGGAAGAUUUCAUCAUGUAAAUGAUGCGUACGGGACUUGGUCAUCAUGUCUCACUCCCUGUAAUCUGGGAGGCUGCAGUUGAGGUCACACUGGGCCAAAAACACUUCAGACUACACUAAUUCCAUCCCCUAUUCCCAAUUCCUCCGCCUCCGCCGCAUCUGCUCCCACGAUAAGACAUUCCACUCCUGCACAUCCCAGAUGUCCAAGUUCUUCAAGGACCUGCAACUUUCCCCCCACAGUGAUCGAGAACGCCCUUGACCGCGUCUCCCGUAUUUCCCGCAACACAUCCCUCACACACCGCCCCCGCCACAACCGCCCCAAGAGGAUCCCCCACGUUCUCACACACCACCCUACCAACCUCCGGAUACAACGCAUCAUCCUCCGACACUUUCGCCAUUUACAAUCCGACCCCACCACCCAAGACAU
Long non-coding RNA from Stegostoma tigrinum, 970 nucleotides. RefSeq lists it as uncharacterized. The record is from RefSeq and is a predicted model, not a curated record. NCBI's taxonomy places the organism in Eukaryota, Metazoa, Chordata, Chondrichthyes, Orectolobiformes, Stegostomatidae. The transcript is spliced from 3 exons.